UCCCCCGCUUGAAAAGUGGGGGAUAUUAAUUUGGGUCUGUCCGUCCGUCCAUCCGUCUGUCCGUCCGUCCGUCUUUCUGUCUGUCUGUAACGCUUUCGUUUCCACACGAUAUCUCGAGAACCCUUCAAGCUUUCACAAUGAAAUUUUGCAUAGCAACUCCCUAUGGACUAAAGAAGAACCCUAUUGAUUUUGAGGUUAAAAGGACAAAGGUCAAGAACCCUUUGAGCUUUUGCAAUGAAAUUUUACAUAACAACUCCCUGUGGCCUAAGGAAGACCCCUAUUGAUUUUGAGGUCAAAAGGUCAAAGUUCGAGGUCGUAAAUUUAUACAUUCUGUCUGUGUGUAACACUAUCCUUUCUGGGCGAUAUUUCAAGAAUAUUUUCAGCUUUCGCAAUGUAAUUUUAUACCAAAACCCCCUAGGACCUCUCUCAUCCCUCUCAAAGUGACCCGCCCCGUUUGUUUUAUGAGUAUUUAUUGUAUUACAUGUCGCUAUAUUUAGCUCAGGAGCAUGAGGAGAGUUUUUACGUAUAAAAACAGGUUCUCGGCGGACUUUAUAUUCUUAUUUCAUCUAUUAGAACUGUUUAAUAAAGGUUAAAUUAGACACCAUGCAUUGUGUAAAAUUUUGACAAUAUCGAACGUGAAUAUAUACAUGUAUGUGACUUCAUCUUUGCAUAUCAUUUUUGAAUGUUGAAAGCGGUUUCGUGGUGUAGUGGUAUGUCUCUCGCUUUAUAUGUGAGAGGUCCCUGGUUCGAAUUCCGGACGAUCCAUUCUCUUUUUUUCCCC
Long non-coding RNA from Saccostrea cuccullata (small rock oyster), 781 nucleotides. RefSeq lists it as uncharacterized. The transcript is spliced from 2 exons. The record is from RefSeq and is a predicted model, not a curated record. Lineage: Eukaryota; Metazoa; Mollusca; Bivalvia; Ostreida; Ostreidae.